This 413-nucleotide ribosomal RNA is filed under the name uncultured bacterium. RNAcentral's name for it is "bacterial SSU rRNA". It matches the Rfam family "Bacterial small subunit ribosomal RNA", at positions 114 to 518 of the family's 1533-position model. The record is from RNAcentral.
CACGUAUGCAACCUGCCUGUAAGCGGGAAUAACCCGUGAAAGACGGACUAAUACCGCAUAAUACUAAAUUACUGCAUGGUAAUUUAUUUAAACAUUUAUGGCUUACAGAUGGGCAUGCGCAUGAUUAGCUAGUUGGAGAGGUAACGGCUCCCCAAGGCAACGAUCAUUAGGGGUUCUGAGAGGAAGGUCCCCCACACUGGUACUGAGACACGGACCAGACUCCUACGGGAGGCAGCAGUGAGGAAUAUUGGUCAAUGGACGAGAGUCUGAACCAGCCAAGUCGCGUGCAGGAAGAAUGUCCUUAAUGGAUUAGUAAACUGUCUUUUGCGAAGGGGAAAUAAAGUGCAUCACGUGUGAUUGUUUUGUAUGUACUCUGCGAAUAAGGAUCGGCUAACCUCCGUGCCAGCAGCUGC